UAGUGGUUCCACGGGAGCCCGGGAGCGUCGGCAGCACAUCGGCGGCGCGAGGGGCUGAGAGGGCGUUCGGCGCCGACCGUAUGAACCUGAACCGGUUGAUCCCGGCGUAGGAAGGACACGCAUGAGCUCG
RNAcentral lists this non-coding RNA (130 nucleotides) under Arthrobacter sp. Its description in RNAcentral is "TPP sequence". It matches the Rfam family "TPP riboswitch aptamer (THI element)". Rfam says of the family: Vitamin B(1) in its active form thiamin pyrophosphate (TPP) is an essential coenzyme that is synthesised by coupling of pyrimidine and thiazole moieties in bacteria. The previously detected thiamin-regulatory element, thi box was extended, resulting in a new, highly conserved RNA secondary structure, the THI element, which is widely distributed in eubacteria and also occurs in some archaea. The record is from RNAcentral. RNAcentral also lists the same sequence under 1 other name. Lineage: Bacteria; Bacillati; Actinomycetota; Actinomycetes; Micrococcales; Micrococcaceae.